Molecule: non-coding RNA, 376 nt
Filed under: Colwellia sp. MT41
Lineage: Bacteria; Pseudomonadati; Pseudomonadota; Gammaproteobacteria; Alteromonadales; Colwelliaceae
Source: Rfam by way of RNAcentral
UGUACUUUUUGGUAGAGGGCAUUUACUCGGGUAAAAACGGAUUCUAGCCAUUUUGGACUAGAGCCACAUUAUUAUUUUAUGACUACGGGAAAAUGUUAGUAUGUCUGAUACAGUUACUGGUAAAGUUAAAUUUUUCAACGAAACUAAAGGUUUCGGUUUUAUAGAGCAAGAAAAUGGUCCUGACGUGUUUGUUCACUUCAGCGCUAUCUCUGGAGACGGUUUCCGUACUCUAGCUGACGGUCAAGCAGUUACUUUUACUGUUAAACAAGGUCAAAAAGGCCCUGAAGCAGAAAACGUACUAGCUGUAUAAGUUUAACUUAUUAAGCUAAUCUAAAAAAACGAAGUAUGAGUUUAACUCGUCCUUCGUUUUUUUGUG